This 253-nucleotide ribosomal RNA is filed under the name uncultured bacterium. RNAcentral's name for it is "partial 16S ribosomal RNA". It matches the Rfam family "Bacterial small subunit ribosomal RNA", at positions 524 to 776 of the family's 1533-position model. The record is from RNAcentral.
UACAGGGGGGGCAAGCGUUGUUCGGAAUUACUGGGCGUAAAGGGCUCGUAGGCGGCCAACUAAGUCAAACGUGAAAUCCCUCAGCUUAACUGGGGAACUGCGUCUGAUACUGGAUGGCUUGGAUUCGGGAGAGGAAUGCGGAAUUCCAGGUGUAGCGGUGAAAUGCGUAGAUAUCUGGAGGAACACCGGUGGCGAAGGCGGCAUUCUGGACCGAUAUUGACGCUGAGGAGCGAAAGCCAGGGGAGCAAACGGG